GCCCUUAUUUGGGUGAACCAGUAUAAAUUCUCUUGUGUUGUUCUUUGUUAACUUUAGUUUUUAUUUUUCAUCUAAAAACAACUAAACAACACUUAAUUGAAAAAGAUCCCUCUUCCAGUUAUCUGGUCAAAUACAGAGGUUGACUACUUUACGCAGAUCCCUCAUCCAGUUAUCUGGUCAACUAUCUGAGGUUAUAUUCAUUGUUUUAAAAUCUUUACUCAGAUAUUUGUUCAAGCAUUUACUUAUCAAAUAUAUAUCCAGUUAUCUGGUCAUUUACUCUAUAUCUUGCUUAUCAAAUAUAUAUCCAGUUAUCUGGUCAUUUACUUUAUAAUAUAAUUUGUGUUUAUAAUAUAACUUAGUAUUUAUAUACUAUAGUUGUUUAUAAAACACCAUCUGAAAAAUUGACUAUGUACUCAUAUACGGUAGUAAACUUCA
Molecule: long non-coding RNA, 435 nt
Filed under: Zostera marina
Lineage: Eukaryota; Viridiplantae; Streptophyta; Magnoliopsida; Alismatales; Zosteraceae
Description: long non-coding RNA (ZMAR_LNC000272)
Source: RNAcentral